The sequence is a ribosomal RNA, 435 nucleotides long. It matches the Rfam family "Bacterial small subunit ribosomal RNA", at positions 341 to 792 of the family's 1533-position model.
ACGGGAGGUAGCAGUCGGGAAUAUUGCGCAAUGGAGGAAACUCUGACGCAGUGACGCCGCGUAUAGGAUGAAGGUUUUCGGAUUGUAAACUAUUGUCGUUAGGGAAGAUACAAGACAGUACCUAAGGAGGAAGCUCCGGCUAACUACGUGCCAGCAGCCGCGGUAAUACGUAGGGGGCAAGCGUUAUCCGGAUUUACUGGGUGUAAAGGGCGCGUAGGCGGGGGUGCAAGUCAGAUGUGAAAUCUAUGGGCUUAACUCAUAAACUGCAUUUGAAACUGUAUCUCUUGAGUGCUGGAGAGGUAGAUGGAAUUCCUUGUGUAGCGGUGAAAUGCGUAGAUAUAAGGAAGAACACCAGUGGCGAAGGCGAUCUACUGGACAGUAACUGACGCUGAGGCGCGAAAGCGUGGGGAGCAAACAGGAUUAGAUACCCUGGUA